RNAcentral lists this ribosomal RNA (492 nucleotides) under uncultured bacterium. RNAcentral describes it as "partial 16S ribosomal RNA". It matches the Rfam family "Bacterial small subunit ribosomal RNA", at positions 29 to 507 of the family's 1533-position model. The record is from RNAcentral.
AGUGAACGCUGGCGGUAGGCCUAACACAUGCAAGUCGAACGGCAGCACAGUAAGAGCUUGCUCUUACGGGUGGCGAGUGGCGGACGGGUGAGGAAUACAUCGGAAUCUACUUUUUCGUGGGGGAUAACGUAGGGAAACUUACGCUAAUACCGCAUACGACCUACGGGUGAAAGCAGGGGAUCUUCGGACCUUGCGCGAUUGAAUGAGCCGAUGUCGGAUUAGCUAGUUGGCGGGGUAAAGGCCCACCAAGGCGACGAUCCGUAGCUGGUCUGAGAGGAUGAUCAGCCACACUGGAACUGAGACACGGUCAAGACUCCUACGAGAGGCAGCAGUGGGGAAUAUUGGACAAUGGGCGCAAGCAUGAUCCAGCCAUACCGCGUGGGUGAAGAAGGCCUUCGGGUUGUAAAGCCCUUUUGUUGGGAAAGAAAAGCAGCAGGUUAAUACCCCGCUGUUCUGACGGUACCCAAAGAAUAAGCACCGGCUAACUUCGUG